AAAAGUUUCUAUUUGGAUUGAUGUUGGUCUGGAACACAAGGGGGUGGUCACAUAUUGUCUCUAGAGGUACGCCUUAUCUCCACCUUUGGGCCAGGCUUGGUAAUCCACAGGGUAUAUAUCCAAUGAUACUGAAAUGUGUAUUGUACUUGCUUGGGACCAAAAUCUAAUUUUGAGUAAGUUGCCAUCUUCCUUGCCAGAGACCCCUUGGGGAGAAGCUUUACUUUGAAAACCUAAG
Molecule: non-coding RNA, 235 nt
Organism: Pelobates cultripes (western spadefoot toad)
Lineage: Eukaryota; Metazoa; Chordata; Amphibia; Anura; Pelobatidae
Source: the annotation of a GenBank genome assembly